UGCCAGCCGCCGCGGUAAGACAGAGGGUGCAAACGUUGUUCGGAAUUACUGGGCGUAAAGCGCGUGUAGGCUGCUUAACAAGUCGGGCGUGAAAUCCCGGGGCUCAACCUCGGACGUGCGUUCGAAACUGUUAAGCUAGAAUCUCGGAGAGGGUAGCGGAAUUCUGGGUGUAGAGGUGAAAUUCGUAGAUAUCCAGAGGAACACCGGUGGCGAAGGCGGCUACCUGGACGAGUAUUGACGCUGAGACGCGAAAGUGUGGGGAGCAAACAGGAUUAGAUA
Molecule: ribosomal RNA, 279 nt
Filed under: uncultured bacterium
Lineage: Bacteria
Description: partial 16S ribosomal RNA
Rfam family: Bacterial small subunit ribosomal RNA
Source: RNAcentral